GUAGGCGAUGGAUAACAGGUUGAUAUUCCUGUACCACCUAUAAUCGUUUUAAUCGAUGGGGGGACGCAGUAGGAUAGGCGAAGCGUGCGAUUGGAUUGCACGUCUAAGCAGUAAGGCUGAGUAUUAGGCAAAUCCGGUACUCGUUAAGGCUGAGCUGUGAUGGGGAGAAGACAUUGUGUCUUCGAGUCGUUGAUUUCACACUGCCGAGAAAAGCCUCUAGAUAGAAAAUAGGUGCCCGUACCGCAAACCGACACAGGUAGUCAAGAUGAGAAUUCUAAGGUGAGCGAGCGAACUCUCGUUAAGGAACUCGGCAAAAUGACCCCGUAACUUCGGGAGAAGGGGUGCUCUUUAGGGUUAACGCCCAGAAGAGCCGCAGUGAAUAGGCCCAAGCGACUGUUUAUCAAAAACACAGGUCUCUGCUAAACCGUAAGGUGAUGUAUAGGGGCUGACGCCUGCCCGGUGCUGGAAGGUUAAGAGGAGUGGUUAGCUUCUGCGAAGCUACGAAUCGAAGCCCCAGUAAACGGCGGCCGUAACUAUAACGGUCCUAAGGUAGCGAAAUUCCUUGUCGGGUAAGUUCCGACCCGCACGAAAGGCGUAACGAUUUGGGCACUGUCUCAACGAGAGACUCGGUGAAAUCAUAGUACCUGUGAAGAUGCAGGUUACCCGCGACAGGACGGAAAGACCCCGUGGAGCUUUACUGUAGCCUGAUAUUGAAAUUCGGCACAGCUUGUACAGGAUAGGUAGGAGCCUUUGAAACGUGAGCGCUAGCUUACGUGGAGGCGCUGGUGGG
This 790-nucleotide ribosomal RNA is filed under the name Staphylococcus aureus. Its description in RNAcentral is "partial 23S ribosomal RNA". It matches the Rfam family "Bacterial large subunit ribosomal RNA", at positions 1411 to 2196 of the family's 2925-position model. Lineage: Bacteria; Bacillati; Bacillota; Bacilli; Caryophanales; Staphylococcaceae. The record is from RNAcentral.